Molecule: non-coding RNA, 73 nt
Organism: Aspergillus piperis CBS 112811
Lineage: Eukaryota; Fungi; Ascomycota; Eurotiomycetes; Eurotiales; Aspergillaceae
Source: the annotation of a RefSeq genome assembly
GCCCAGCUAACUCAAUUGGUAAAGUAUGAGACUUUUAAUCUUAAGACUGCGGGUUCGAGCCCCGUGUUAAGCU